CAUUUUUCUGCAGAAAUAAUGGGAUGUGCCUGAGAGAUGAUUAGCCUGGCCUCUGUGCAAGGAUGACACACAAAUCUGUGAAUGUUCCAUAUUUUU
Molecule: small nuclear RNA, 96 nt
Organism: Cavia aperea (Brazilian guinea pig)
Lineage: Eukaryota; Metazoa; Chordata; Mammalia; Rodentia; Caviidae
Source: Ensembl